AGGGAAUCUUCCACAAUGGGCGAAAGCCUGAUGGAGCAACGCCGCGUGAGUGAAGAAGGUUUUCGGAUCGUAAAACUCUGUUGUUAGGGAAGAACAAGUACCGUUCGAAUAGGGCGGCACCUUGACGGUACCUAACCAGAAAGCCACGGCUAACUACGUGCCAGCAGCCGCGGUAAUACGUAGGUGGCAAGCGUUGUCCGGAAUUAUUGGGCGUAAAGCGCGCGCAGGCGGUCCUUUAAGUCUGAUGUGAAAGCCCACGGCUCAACCGUGGAGGGUCAUUGGAAACUGGAGGACUUGAGUGCAGAAGAGGAAAGUGGAAUUCCAAGUGUAGCGGUGAAAUGCGUAGAGAUUUGGAGGAACACCAGUGGCGAAGGCGACUUUCUGGUCUGUAACUGACGCUGAGGCGCGAAAGCGUGGGGAGCAAAC
This 426-nucleotide ribosomal RNA is filed under the name uncultured bacterium. RNAcentral's name for it is "bacterial SSU rRNA". It matches the Rfam family "Bacterial small subunit ribosomal RNA", at positions 356 to 773 of the family's 1533-position model. The record is from RNAcentral.